Molecule: long non-coding RNA, 169 nt
Organism: Mus musculus (house mouse)
Lineage: Eukaryota; Metazoa; Chordata; Mammalia; Rodentia; Muridae
Product: predicted gene, 53208
Exons: 2
Source: RefSeq, a predicted model, not a curated record
UGACUGCAGCAGUGACAAGAAGGCAGAGGGAAGCCACACUUCAGAAGUCCUUGGUACUGUUGCUGAUCGGUAAUUAGUGAAUGCUACAAGAAAGGGGGCUUUGUUCUGCUGCUGCACAGCUGUUGGGACAGUCUCUGUCUUCUGAAUUGUUGGACCUGGGGAUGCAGAA